AAGUGAUGUGGCAAGUCACUCGGUCAUUUAAGACGACCUUUUUUACUUUCUAUCAUUUGCUGUACUUGACUAUAUCUUUGCUUGAGCUUUAAAGGGAUAGUUCGGGAUUUUUGACAUGAAUCUGUAUGGCAUCCCCAUCAAUAGUGUCGUGCAAACACACUGACUUGCCCCCGACAGCAUCCUGUGAGUCCAGUUCUUGUCCAGUUUUGGUCCAGACGAAAGUAGUCCGGCAAGUUUGUUGGGGUCACGAAAGUAAAACGUUUUUCGUCUCGGAACAGUAUGUGUUCAAAAGAGUGAUAUAUUUGCAUCACAAAACCGUUGCCAAAUAAAAAGUCAGACCUCGCAAUCGCUUGGCACUAUUUUCUCUCCCUUCUUAUCACUGCGCGCUGCCGCCAGGUGACAGCCACGGCUGUUUCAUUCAUUGUUUACUGCUAGCAAAGUUAGCGACAACAUGUCUGACUACGACAGCGACGUUGAAAACAUUGACUUCAUCUCACAGCCAAAGGGAUAGCUUUAUGAACCCGAAUAUACAGAUGAAGAAAUUCGCCAGAUGGAGUUAGAACGGGCAGAGAGAGAAAGGGUGGACAGAGAAGUGGAAGAAGGUGAAGCUGGAGCUGGAGCCGCGAGACACCGGGUGACCGACAAAUGGUGGUGUACUUGUUCCAAAUGUGAAGUAAUGCAGACAGAGGUGGAGUGCUACUGCUGCCACGAAUAGGAUCUCAUCAUGCCACAGAUGCAAGACCUUUCAAUUGACGAGGAGGCCAGCGUGCCAGCUGCUGUCUGCAUCACAAACCACACUGACUUCCCUGCACUCCUGAAUGUUGGUGUCUUGCAGACGUUUUUCCACAUUCCUAAAAUUAACUGGAAGAAGCGUCCCAGGCCAGCUGGACCCGAUGAUCAGUUGUAUUCAGAACAGUACAUGCUGAUUGCCUAUCGCAUUGUAUUAGAAUGGGCCCUGAAAGGAGAGAAGCUUGGUCCCGGCCACAGGAGAGUUCUUCCUUCCUGUGUGGUGGAGCUAAUAAGAAGAACAUAUCCAUCACCAAAUGGACAAUAUGCAGGGUUCAAAGAGUCAGUGGAUGCACUGCAAUUGUUUUAGAUCUUUAAAAUUGUAAAGUUUUACUGUACAUUUUCUACAUUGUUACAUUUACCCUUUCUAUGGAAAAUUAUUUGAAACAACAUCGAACAUACAAAAUAGAAACAGAUUUCUGUCCUGUUCAAUAAAACUAUGUUCACAAA
Molecule: long non-coding RNA, 1236 nt
Organism: Neoarius graeffei (lesser salmon catfish)
Lineage: Eukaryota; Metazoa; Chordata; Actinopteri; Siluriformes; Ariidae
Exons: 2
Source: RefSeq, a predicted model, not a curated record